UAGUAAAAAUUUAUUGUGCACACACCAAAAAUAGUUUGCAAACCGGGAGCUCUGGAACCAGAGCACGGAAUGAGGCCCAGGGUAUAUCUUUAUAAAGCUACUUGUGCCGUGAGAAAGCAGUGACUGUUUAUUCUUCACGGAUUGGCUGCAAUGAGAUUUUUCAGUGGUCCCUUCAUAUCAUCCAUGGGAACCAGUUCAAGUUUUGCUUAUCAUUUCCAGAAGCUCAAACAAGAAAUGAUCUAGGUCAACUUAGCCUUGCAAAAUAAGCUAAAUUAUGCUUUGUUUGUAUGAUCAUACUGGUUACUCUGCUUAGAAUUUUCAAGGCUAGUCUCCGUUCGGUUUUGAUUUUAAUAGGCUCUAUCUCUCAAUAAAUGCGAGAGAGCCCACGAAAGCUCCCCAAUACGAAGCUGCGCUAUCUGGGCGGCACUAGGACCCCGGGGGCUCCAGGUUAGCUCUCCCAGCCGGCGGGUGGUGGCGCGGGUUUAAGGACCGGCAGGAGCUGGAAGCAAGGGAAGGGCGAGGCGAGUGAGCAGGGACACAAUGGACACUUUCUGCCCUCUGGAGGGAGCUAUCCAAAAGAAGAAACUGCACUUGGAAAUUGACCUAUGAGCAGCACAGAAGAUGAAGAAGAAGGAAAGGGGCCAUCAAGCAGAGAAAUGUGGAGAUCCUGGUGAUGCUGGCAAUGACCCUUCAGCAGGGAGAUGGCUGGACCUGCCAAGUGGAGCACCCCAGCCUGGAUGGUCCUGUCACUGUGGAGUGGAGUACAUCUGCAGUGGCUGCCGUGAGGCAGACAGUGGGGAGAGAAUGAGGCAGAGCAGGAGACAAUGAGGCAGACAGUGGGGAGAGAAUGAGGCAGAGCAGGAGAGAAUGAGGCAGACAGUGGGGAGAGAAUGAGGCAGAGCAGGAGAGAAUGAGGCAGACAGUGGGGAGAGAAUGAGGCAGAGCAGAGCAGGAUUCAGAGGAGCUCUGAAUCCAGGACUUAUUUCCCUAUCUGGUGGAGGGAGAAGGGGUGGAGGUGAAACAGCUCAGCGGGGCUCAGCCAACCAGAAAAUGUCAGAAGGAGCAUCUUAGUGUCUGGGAAAGAGGCGAGAAACGACGCGGCUGAGAAAGUCCCAACCUAUGUGGGGUUCAGGGAUAAGAGGAAGAGAACAAAAAUGGAGACAUGAUAAUCACCUUCUUUUUAAUGGGAUUGAUUGGAAAUACGUCUUUGAAAUUGAUCCUGGAACAUUUUUUAUUUGUAGUAACUUUUGUGAAUGGAUAAUUUUCUUCAUAAUUUCAUGUUGAUUUUUUGUAUCAUAUAAGAAUUCCCUUGAUUGUUAUUAAGUAAUGUUAUAUUUUACCCUUUCAUUCCUUUGAUAAUUUUGGAGGAAUCUGAUAAUAUUUAAUCAAAAAUUUCCAGACAUAUAAUCAGAAUGCAAAAAAUAUUAACUAUUUCACUUCUAAUUAUUCUUUUUAUUUCUUCUUGCAGUUUUUAUCUUUUUAUACGAGAUUUCUCUAAUAUUUUACCACUUAGUGUAAAAUUAACUUUGCUUUAUAAAUUCUUUUUUUAUAUAUAAAUUUGAUGUCUUUUCAUAAAUUUGUGUAGAACUGUAGUAAAAGCCCC
Molecule: long non-coding RNA, 1603 nt
Organism: Zalophus californianus (California sea lion)
Lineage: Eukaryota; Metazoa; Chordata; Mammalia; Carnivora; Otariidae
Source: Ensembl